AUAGGGGAGCCGGAGGGAAACCGAGUCUUAAUUGGGCGUUAAGUUGCAGGGUAUAGACCCGAAACCCGGUGAUCUAGCCAUGGGCAGGUUGAAGGUUGGGUAACACUAACUGGAGGACCGAACCGACUAAUGUUGAAAAAUUAGCGGAUGACCUGUGGCUGGGGGUGAAAGGCCAAUCAAACCGGGAGAUAGCUGGUUCUCCCCGAAAGCUAUUUAGGUAGCGCCUCGUGAAUUCAUCUCCGGGGGUAGAGCACUGUUUCGGCUAGGGGGCCAUCCCGGCUUACCAACCCGAUGCAAACUGCGAAUACCGGAGAAUGUUAUCACGGGAGACACACGGCGGGUGCUAACGUCCGUCGUGAAGAGGGAAACAACCCAGACCGCCAGCUAAGGUCCCAAAGUCAUGGUUAAGUGGGAAACGAUGUGGGAAGGCCCAGACAGCCAGGAUGUUGGCUUAGAAGCAGCCAUCAUUUAAAGAAAGCGUAAUAGCUCACUGGUCGAGUCGGCCUGCGCGGAAGAUGUAACGGGGCUAAACCAUGCACCGAAGCUGCGGCAGCGACGCUUAUGCGUUGUUGGGUAGGGGAGCGUUCUGUAAGCCUG
This 597-nucleotide ribosomal RNA is filed under the name Salmonella enterica. RNAcentral's name for it is "partial 23S ribosomal RNA". It matches the Rfam family "Bacterial large subunit ribosomal RNA", at positions 657 to 1251 of the family's 2925-position model. The record is from RNAcentral. Lineage: Bacteria; Pseudomonadati; Pseudomonadota; Gammaproteobacteria; Enterobacterales; Enterobacteriaceae.